UGUAUCUUAAUUUUGUUUUAGCUCGCUAAAGCCACCACAAAGUUUGUUGCAUAUUCUCAUGGAGGUGACUGGGGCUUUGAUGACUGGAAUAGUUGGAGGCAAGCCGAUGGGUUCCUGUGCAGAUCACACAAUGAUUGCACUUGGAUGGAUCCUAAUUUAAGAUGUGAAGAUUAUGAAAUGAGUGUUAGUCCUAGUCGAGCUUGGUUUGGAGGAGAUCUUGCUUCUAUAGUUGGAAAGUGUGAGUGUACCGAAG
Long non-coding RNA from Eurytemora carolleeae, 253 nucleotides. RefSeq lists it as uncharacterized. The record is from RefSeq and is a predicted model, not a curated record. NCBI's taxonomy places the organism in Eukaryota, Metazoa, Arthropoda, Copepoda, Calanoida, Temoridae. The transcript has 3 exons.